UAAGGGUUCCGGUGGUUGAAUUA
This 23-nucleotide transfer RNA is filed under the name Peristedion cataphractum (African armoured searobin). Its description in RNAcentral is "partial tRNA-Glu". Lineage: Eukaryota; Metazoa; Chordata; Actinopteri; Perciformes; Peristediidae. The record is from RNAcentral.